GACGAACGCUGGUGGCGUGCUUAACACAUGCAAGUCGAACGGUGAAGCUCCAGCUUGCUGGAGUGGAUCAGUGGCGAACGGGUGAGUAACACGUGAGCAACCUGCCCCUGACUCUGGAAUAAGCGCUGGAAACGGCGUCUAAUACUGGAUACGAGAAGGGCCCGCAUGGGCACUUUCUGGAAAGUUUUUCGGUUGGGGAUGGGCUCGCGGCCUAUCAGCUUGCUGGUGAGGUAAUGGCUCACCAAGGCGACGACGGGUAGCCGGCCUGAGAGGGCGACCGGCCACACUGGGACUGAGACACGGCCCAGACUCCUACGGGAGGCAGCAGUGGGGAAUAUUGCACAAUGGGCGAAAGCCUGAUGCAGCGACGCCGCGUGAGGGAUGACGGCCUUCGGGUUGUAAACCUCUUUCAGCAGGGAAGAAGCGAAAGUGACGGUACCUGCAGAAGAAGCACCGGCUAACUACGUG
This 468-nucleotide ribosomal RNA is filed under the name uncultured bacterium. RNAcentral describes it as "partial 16S ribosomal RNA". It matches the Rfam family "Bacterial small subunit ribosomal RNA", at positions 28 to 507 of the family's 1533-position model. The record is from RNAcentral.